CGAGCCGGGCGGGCGGCCGCGUGGAGGUCCUGGUGGAUCUCCCCGAGGAACGUCCGGGCUCCACAGGGCAGGGUGGUGGCUAACGGCCACCCGGGGUGACCCGCGGGACAGUGCCACAGAAAGCAAACCGCCGGGGACCGUAUGCGUACGGCCCCCGGUAAGGGUGAAACGGUGGUGUAAGAGACCACCAGUGCUCAGGGUGACCUGGGCAGCUCGGUAAACCCCACCCGGAGCAAGGUCAAAAGGGGCCGCUGUGAAAGGCGCGCCCUGCGCGGACGUUCGAGGGCUGCCCGCCCGAGUCCGCGGGUGGACCGCACGAGGCCGGCGGCAACGCCGGCCCUAGAUGGAUGGCCGUCGCCCCGAGGCCCGCGAGGACCCCGGGGAACAGAACCCGGCGUACAGCCCGACUCGUCUG
Streptomyces sp. NRRL F-5122 is the source of this 415-nucleotide non-coding RNA. It matches the Rfam family "Bacterial RNase P class A". Rfam says of the family: Ribonuclease P (RNase P) is a ubiquitous endoribonuclease, found in archaea, bacteria and eukarya as well as chloroplasts and mitochondria. Its best characterised activity is the generation of mature 5'-ends of tRNAs by cleaving the 5'-leader elements of precursor-tRNAs. Cellular RNase Ps are ribonucleoproteins. The record is from Rfam. Lineage: Bacteria; Bacillati; Actinomycetota; Actinomycetes; Kitasatosporales; Streptomycetaceae.